GACGAACGCUGGCGGCGUGCUUAACACAUGCAAGUCGAACGGAAAGGCCCUGCUUUUGUUGGGUUCUCGUUUGGCGAACGGGUGAGUAACACGUGAGUAACCUGCCCUUGACUUUGGGAUAACUUCAGGAAACUGGGGCUAAUACCUUAUAGGAUCUCCUGCUGCAUGGUGGUGUUUGGAAAUUUUCGGCGGUUGGGGAUGGACUCGCGGCUUAUCAGCUUGUUUGUGGGGUAGUGGCUUACCAAGGGUUUGACGGGUAGCCGGCCUGAGAGGGUGACCGGAGACAGUGGGAGUGAGAGAAGGCACAGAAUGGUACGGGAGGAAGCAGUGGGGAAUAUUGCACAAUGGGAGGAAGCCUGAUGAAGAAACGCAGCGAGCGGGAUGACGGCCUUCGGGUUGAAAACAGAUUUAGCAUGUGACGAAGAGUGAGUGACGGUAAUGGGUAAAGAAGCACCGGCUAACUACGUG
Molecule: ribosomal RNA, 468 nt
Filed under: uncultured bacterium
Lineage: Bacteria
Description: partial 16S ribosomal RNA
Rfam family: Bacterial small subunit ribosomal RNA
Source: RNAcentral